Long non-coding RNA from Melanotaenia boesemani (Boeseman's rainbowfish), 681 nucleotides. RefSeq lists it as uncharacterized. NCBI's taxonomy places the organism in Eukaryota, Metazoa, Chordata, Actinopteri, Atheriniformes, Melanotaeniidae. The transcript has 4 exons. The record is from RefSeq and is a predicted model, not a curated record.
UAUCUCCCCAAAUACACUGCAAAAGCAUUGUUGAGGGGGUUUGUGAGAAAUGUGUGAACUCUACAUCAGUUUUCCCAGCCUCCUGGGCGUGGCCUACUGUGAGUUGAGCGAACCUUUGACUGAGCAUCAGUUUCACUCUUGGUUUGGAGCUGAGUUUACACCCACCCUGCUGGCUCAUAAGACAACUGAAAACACCAUGGCCACAGUCACAGUUGAAUACUGCAAAGGAUGAAGUUAUGCAUAUCGCUACCAGGAACUAGCCGGCGUCCUCAGGCAGGUUCCUGGUGUGAAAGUGAAUGGAGUUACAGGAAGGCCAGACAGCUUUGAGGUGAUGCUAAAUGACCAGCUGCUCCAUUCAAAGCUGGACAAGGGGGAGUUUCCUGAUGCUGAACAGAUGGCAGAGAAGGUGAGGGAGAUGGUUCCUGAAGGAAAGAGGAAGAAAAAUUCAAAGUCGCACAUAAAGAGUUGCUGUCUCCAGUAGAAGAUGGAGAAUCAAACAACUUCUGUGUCCUCUCUGGCAGAAGUUGUUUGCUUAGUUUUUUCAUUUCCUGUUAAAGAUUAUUACCUCUAAAAAAAAUUGAUUACUGGCUACAAAUGAUAAAUCCACCUGUGUGAUAUAGUAUGAUGUCUGUUGGUGAAAGCAGUUUCUAGGAACCAGGCACUGAUCAGUAUUUCUGUUUA